GCGAAGGUGGCGGAAUUGGCAGACGCGCCGGAUUCAGGUUCCGGUGGGGUAACUCCUGUACGGGUUCAACUCCCGUCCUUCGCA
This 84-nucleotide transfer RNA is filed under the name Labilithrix sp. RNAcentral describes it as "tRNA-Leu". It matches the Rfam family "tRNA". From Rfam's summary of the family: Transfer RNA (tRNA) molecules are approximately 80 nucleotides in length. Their secondary structure includes four short double-helical elements and three loops (D, anti-codon, and T loops). Further hydrogen bonds mediate the characteristic L-shaped molecular structure. tRNAs have two regions of fundamental functional importance: the anti-codon, which is responsible for specific mRNA codon recognition, and the 3' end, to which the tRNAs corresponding amino acid is attached (by aminoacyl-tRNA synthetases). tRNAs cope with the degeneracy of the genetic code in two manners: having more than one tRNA (with a specific anti-codon) for a particular amino acid; and 'wobble' base-pairing, i.e. permitting non-standard base-pairing at the 3rd anti-codon position. The record is from RNAcentral. RNAcentral also lists the same sequence under 1 other name. Lineage: Bacteria; Pseudomonadati; Myxococcota; Polyangiales; Labilitrichaceae.